RNAcentral lists this ribosomal RNA (255 nucleotides) under uncultured bacterium. Its description in RNAcentral is "partial 16S ribosomal RNA". It matches the Rfam family "Bacterial small subunit ribosomal RNA", at positions 215 to 470 of the family's 1533-position model. The record is from RNAcentral.
UGACUACUUGAUGAUCCCGCGUUGUAUUAGCUAGUUGGUAGUGUAAAGGACUACCAAGGCGAUGAUACAUAGCCGACCUGAGAGGGUGAUCGGCCACACUGGGACUGAGACACGGCCCAGACUCCUACGGGAGGCAGCAGUAGGGAAUCUUCGGCAAUGGGGGCAACCCUGACCGAGCAACGCCGCGUGAGUGAAGAAGGUUUUCGGAUCGUAAAACUCUGUUGUUAGAGAAGAACGUUAAGUAGAGUGGAAAAU